CUACGGGAGGCAGCAGUGGGGAAUCUUAGACAAUGGGGGAAACCCUGAUCUAGCCAUGCCGCGUGAGUGAUGAAGGCCCUAGGGUCGUAAAGCUCUUUCGCCAGGGAUGAUAAUGACAGUACCUGGUAAAGAAACCCCGGCUAACUCCGUGCCAGCAGCCGCGGUAAUACGGAGGGGGUUAGCGUUGUUCGGAAUUACUGGGCGUAAAGCGCGCGUAGGCGGAUUAGAAAGUUGGGGGUGAAAUCCCGGGGCUCAACCCCGGAACUGCCUCCAAAACUACUAGUCUAGAGUUCGAGAGAGGUGAGUGGAAUUCCGAGUGUAGAGGUGAAAUUCGUAGAUAUUCGGAGGAACACCAGUGGCGAAGGCGGCUCACUGGCUCGAUACUGACGCUGAGGUGCGAAAGUGUGGGGAGCAAACAGGAUUAGAUACCCUGGUAGUCCACACCGUAAACGAUGAAUGCCAGUCGUCGGAUAGUAUACUAUUCGGUGACACACCUAACGGAUUAAGCAUUCCGCCUGGGGAGUACGGUCGCAAGAUUAAAACUCAAAG
This 549-nucleotide ribosomal RNA is filed under the name uncultured bacterium. Its description in RNAcentral is "bacterial SSU rRNA". It matches the Rfam family "Bacterial small subunit ribosomal RNA", at positions 339 to 906 of the family's 1533-position model. The record is from RNAcentral.